AWUCGRGGGGCAGCGGAGAGUAGCAAUACUCUGCCGGCGACCGGCGAAAGGGUGCGUAACGCGUGAGCAACUUGCCCGUAUCCGGGACAUAAGUGGUGGAAACGCCGUCUAAUUUCCCAUAACAACAGAGGCCGCAUGACCUUUGUUUGAAAGAUCCGUCGGAUACGGAUGGGCUCGCGAGACAUUAGCUAGUCGGCGUGGUAACGGCACACCGAGGCGACGAUGUCUAGGGGUUCUGAGAGGAAGGUCCCCCACACUGGAACUGAGACACGGUCCAGACUCCUACGGGAGGCAGCAGUGAGGAAUAUUGGUCAAUGGGCGCAAGCCUGAACCAGCCAUGCCGCGUGAAGGAAUAAGGCCCUAUGGGUCGUAAACUUCUUUUGUGGUGGAGCAAUAAGGUGCACGUGUGCAUCGAUGAGAGUACAUCACGAAUAAGCAUCGGCUAACUCCGUGCCAGCAGCCGCGGUAAUACGGAGGAUGCAAGCGUUAUCCGGAUUUAUUGGGUUUAAAGGGUGCGUAGGCUGUUCGACAAGUCAGGGGUGAAAGCCCAGUGCCUAACACUGGAACUGCCUUUGAUACUGCCGAGCUGGAAUACGGAUGCCGUGGGAGGAAUGAGUAGUGUAGCGGUGAAAUGCAUAGAUAUUACUCAGAACACCGAUUGCGAAGGCAGCGCGCCGCAGCUGUACUGACGCUCAUGCUCGAAGGCGCGGGUAUCGAACAGGAUUAGAUACCCUGGUAGUCCGCGCGGUAAACGAUGGACGCCCGCUGUGUGCCAUUGCGGUACGCGGCCAAGCGAAAGCGUUAAGCGUCCCACCUGGGGAGUACGCCGGCAACGGUGAAACUCAAAGGAAUUGACGGGGGCCCGCACAAGCGGAGGAACAUGUGGUUUAAUUCGAUGAUACGCGAGGAACCUUACCCGGGCUUGAACUGCAGGAGAACGAUUCAGAGAUGAUGAGGUCCUUCGGGACUCCUGUGGAGGUGCUGCAUGGUUGUCGUCAGCUCGUGCCGUGAGGUGUCGGCUUAAGUGCCAUAACGAGCGCAACCCCUUCCGGUAGUUGCCAUCAGGUGAAGCUGGGCACUCUGCCGGUACUGCCACCGUAAGGUGCGAGGAAGGUGGGGAUGACGUCAAAUCAGCACGGCCCUUACGUCCGGGGCUACACACGUGUUACAAUGGGUGGUACAGAGAGCUGGCGCUGCGCGAGCCGCGCCGAAUCCUCAAAGCCUCCCUCAGUUCGGACCGGGGUCUGCAACCCGACCCCGCGAAGCUGGAUUCGCUAGUAAUCGCGCAUCAGCCAUGGCGCGGUGAAUACGUUCCCGG
Molecule: ribosomal RNA, 1318 nt
Filed under: uncultured rumen bacterium
Lineage: Bacteria
Description: bacterial SSU rRNA
Rfam family: Bacterial small subunit ribosomal RNA
Source: RNAcentral